Mustela lutreola (European mink) is the source of this 341-nucleotide long non-coding RNA. RefSeq lists it as uncharacterized. NCBI's taxonomy places the organism in Eukaryota, Metazoa, Chordata, Mammalia, Carnivora, Mustelidae. The record is from RefSeq and is a predicted model, not a curated record. The transcript is spliced from 3 exons.
AGAGACCUCUGCUUCCGAUGGGGAAAGCUUUCCCCUCAACUCUGGAGUGUUUCUAGCCAUUUUAUCUAAGAAUUCUGCCCAGGAAAUAGUCGUCAGACUCCACCUCGCUCACCUCACCCUAUCCAGACACCAGUGUCCUUGCACAUGAGGCUCUUUCCUGCUCCACUGAUGUUGAUCUUGGUCAUGAGACUUGCUUGGGCCAAUGGUUAUUACAACAGAAGAUCACAGACUGGGUGGCUUAUAAACAAUUGGAAUUUAUUUCUCACAGUUUUUUAAGCAGCUGCCUCAUAAACUCCCCUGAGGGGGCUGACAAGUCUGAAAUCUGCUGGGAAGGCUGGUAU